AAGAUUAAACUGAAGAGUUUGAUCAUGGCUCAGAUUGAACGCUGGCGGCAGGCCUAACACAUGCAA
This 66-nucleotide ribosomal RNA is filed under the name Porticoccaceae bacterium. RNAcentral's name for it is "partial 16S ribosomal RNA". Lineage: Bacteria; Pseudomonadati; Pseudomonadota; Gammaproteobacteria; Cellvibrionales; Porticoccaceae. The record is from RNAcentral.